Corvus hawaiiensis (hawaiian crow) is the source of this 1866-nucleotide long non-coding RNA. RefSeq lists it as uncharacterized. The transcript is spliced from 3 exons. The record is from RefSeq and is a predicted model, not a curated record. NCBI's taxonomy places the organism in Eukaryota, Metazoa, Chordata, Aves, Passeriformes, Corvidae.
UCCCCCGGGCCCGGUUUGUUUUCCAUGGCACCGACCCCGCUCCUGCCUGCGGGGGCCCUUCCUCCGCCCUCCCGGCCCCCAAAAACCCCGUCCGCUCCCCCCAUCCCAGCGCCCCAAAAUCCCUCCUCGCCCCCAAAACCUCUCCCCCCCCAUCCCCGCCCCAUAAAUCGGGGUUUGUCCUCGCCACCCCCUGGGCAGGGCGUGGGUGGCCUCUGCAGGACACGAGGUGGCCUCCGGUGAGUUGUGACAGGGUUUGGGGACAGCGGGUGGCGGGGUGACCCCAGGGAGGGGCUGCGGGGCCGGGAAAGGGCGCGUGGGGCUCGAGGGGUGGAGCAGGGAGCAGGAGAAGGAGAUUCCAGAUCCACGGAGGUCACUCGGAGCUGUCCCUGCCCACGGAGGUCACUCGGAGGUGCCACUGACCAGGGAGGUCACUCCGAGGUGCCACUGACCAGGGCGGUCACUCGGAGCUGCCACUGACCAUGGAGGCCACCCGGAGGUGCCACUGCCCAGGGAGGUCACUCGGAGGUGCCACUGACCACGGAGGUCACCCAGAGGUGCCACUGACCACGGAGGUCACUCAGAGCUGUCCCUGUCCUGGGAGGUCACUCAGAGGUGCCACUGACCACUGAGGUCACCCGGAGGUGCCACUGACCACUGAGGUCACUCAGAGGUGCCACUGCCCACGGUGGUCACCCGGAGGUGCCACUGACCGCUGAGGUCACCCGGAGCUGCCACUGACCACGGUGGUCACUCAGAGGUGCCACUGACCACUGAGGUCACUCAGAGGUGCCACUGACCACAGAGGUCACCCAGAGGUGCCACUGACCACUGAGGUCACUCAGAGGUGCCACUGCCCAUGGAGGUCACCCAGAGGUGCCACUGACCACAGAGGUCACUCAGAGCUGUCCCUGCCCACGGAGGUCACCCAGAGGUGCCACUGACCACGGAGGUCACUCAGAGGUGCCACUGACCACUGAGGUCACUCGGAGGUGCCACUGACCACUGAGGUCACUCAGAGGUGCCACUGACCACAGAGGUCACCCAGAGGUGCCACUGACCACAGAGGUCACUCAGAGGUGCCACUGCCCAUGGAGGUCACCCAGAGGUGCCACUGACCACAGAGGUCACUCAGAGCUGUCCCUGCCCACGGAGGUCACCCAGAGGUGCCACUGACCACGGAGGUCACUCAGAGGUGCCACUGACCACAGAGGUCACCCAGAGGUGCCACUGACCACUGAGGUCACUCAGAGGUGCCACUGACCACAGAGGUCACCCAGAGGUGCCACUGACCACAGAGGUCACUCAGAGCUGUCCCUGCCCAUGGAGGUCACCCAGAGGUGCCACUGACCACAGAGGUCACCCAGAGGUGCCACUGCCCACGGAGGUCACUCGGAGCUGUCCCCCAGCGCCACCUCCUCGUCCCUGCCGCCAAUUCCCCAGGAAACUUUGGAAAACGGCCUUCCUGGGAAUUCCAUCCCGCCGAUUUCCGGCCUGGGAAUGUCGAGAGGGAUCCUGGAGCCCCGCCCACCCCAAACUGGUCCAACUGGGGCGGCUCCAGCGAGGAUCCGGGGAUGGAGCCGGGAGGAGCGGGAUCCCCCCUUCUUCCCGGGAAAAGCUCCAUCCUCAUUCCCCGGGAUGCUUUGGGAUUCCCAGCGGGAAUUUUUCCCGGGAAAAGCUCCAUCCUCAUCCCCCGGGAUGCUUUGGGAUUCCCAGCGGGAAUUUUUCCCGGGAAAAGCUCCAUCCUCAUCCCCCGGGAUGCUUUGGGAUUCCCAGCGGGAAUUUUUCCCGGGAAAAGCUCCAUCCUCAUCCCCCGGGAUGCUUUGGGAUUCCCAGCGGGAAUUUUUCCCGGGAAAAGCUCCAUCCUCA